UACCCGCGGGAAAGCCGAGGCCCGGUGCUGUAUUCUGCCGCCCAUUUUACCCGCGGGGAAGCUGAGGCCCAGUGCUGUUUAAUAUCUUACUCAUGUUCACUUGAUGAGAAAGUGACAGAUCUGAGACAAACCCAGAUCGACAGAAAAGAAAUGAGUCAACGAUGGUGCAGGUGAUCUGUGCAGUGCUGUGCAGGGGAUGGGUCAAAGCUGUGAUGCUGGCAUGCAACUAACUCACCAUUGUGAGCCAAUCACAAAAGCAGAAACUUGGCCAAGCUGAAAGGGACCAGCUUGACGAAGCUUCUGCUUUUGUGACUGUCUCCUAAUGCAGAAACCAGAGCACCUCAGAAGAUCAAGGCUUCCAAAUUCUCCUGGGGGAACAGACGUCAGCCAUUCAGCACAAAGGAAACUUCCUUCUCUGUAUGUCAGAGGAAGACAUAAUUGUGCCAUUUCCUUCUUGAAGAAGUUUACAAACAUUUGCAAGUUGUCAAAAAUAAUUAGUCUAAAAUUGUUUCAUAAACCGUGGAAUGAAACAGGACGUGCCUUGUUGAGAUCAAAGGGCUUCUGUUACCUUCUUGUAAACUCAAAUGAAAUUCUUUUGAAAGUAAA
Molecule: long non-coding RNA, 606 nt
Organism: Homo sapiens (human)
Lineage: Eukaryota; Metazoa; Chordata; Mammalia; Primates; Hominidae
Gene: MIR646HG
Product: MIR646 host gene
Source: Ensembl